UCGGGAAUAUUGGACAAUGGGCGCAAGCCUGAUCCAGCCAUGCCGCGUGAGUGAUGAAGGCCUUAGGGUUGUAAAGCUCUUUUACCAGGGAUGAUAAUGACAGUACCUGGAGAAUAAGCUCCGGCUAACUCCGUGCCAGCAGCCGCGGUAAUACGGAGGGAGCUAGCGUUGUUCGGAAUUACUGGGCGUAAAGCGUACGUAGGCGGUGACUCAAGUCAGAGGUGAAAGCCUGGAGCUCAACUCCAGAACUGCCUUUGAAACUAGGUCGCUAGAAUCACGGAGAGGUGAGUGGAAUUCCGAGUGUAGAGGUGAAAUUCGUAGAUAUUCGGAAGAACACCAGUGGCGAAGGCGGCUCACUGGACGUGUAUUGACGCUGAGGUACGAAAGCGUGGGGAGCAAACAGGAUUAGAUACCCGCGUAGUCCCUGAGCGGGCUGGCAAGGCGCAU
RNAcentral lists this ribosomal RNA (447 nucleotides) under uncultured bacterium. Its description in RNAcentral is "bacterial SSU rRNA". It matches the Rfam family "Bacterial small subunit ribosomal RNA", at positions 355 to 825 of the family's 1533-position model. The record is from RNAcentral.